CUGCACGCUGCAACCUUUGGCUAGUCCGAUUUACAAAUGAAGAGUCUGCCCUAUGCGUGUGCUAAAUCAAACUUCUCUGCUGUUUCAGUGUUGCAAAUCUGAUUAUUUUCAAAAUCUUGUUUGUGUCAAUUUGGCAGCUACAUUA
This is a non-coding RNA of Picea glauca (white spruce), 145 nucleotides long. NCBI's taxonomy places the organism in Eukaryota, Viridiplantae, Streptophyta, Pinopsida, Pinales, Pinaceae. The record is from Rfam.